This 2801-nucleotide long non-coding RNA is filed under the name Helianthus annuus (common sunflower). RNAcentral describes it as "hypothetical non coding rna". The record is from RNAcentral. Lineage: Eukaryota; Viridiplantae; Streptophyta; Magnoliopsida; Asterales; Asteraceae.
UGGAUCGAGCUCAGGGGCGACCAAGAAGGGUCAAGCCCUAAUCAACACAAUUUCAUCAAAUUGAAGGGGCAAAUCAAGUCCAAAUCAAAAUCCGAGUAUGAAUUAGUGAUCUCCAUUGAAAAAGGAGUCAUGAGUUUGACUCUGACAAGCUAGGUAGGAGCUUGGAAAUGAACGGGUCAAAUGGAUAGAAUUCAAGUAUGAAGCUCGCAAGGAUGCAAGGUACACCUUGGAUGCCGGAAGACGAUCAAGCUCAACGAAGGACCGAACACGAUAUAGAUACACGCUUCGGCACAUUGCCACGUUGUAAAUUUUAACAACGAACUCAAUUACGUUUGUUGGAUAACUUAUGAUUUGUAAAAGAUUUAAUAAACCCGCAUUUUGUACAGUAUGUGUGGUCUUAACUACACAUCUAAUUGUGGUAUUUUCAUGUAAAAUUGUAAUUUAGUAACUAGCGUGUUACAAGUUGGUAAUCAGAGCUCAUGGUUAAAGAGUAAGGUGUGUUCGGUUCGAGGCUUGAUCGCAAAUCCGGUAAGUGCAUGUAUGCUAAUGGUCUAGCGUAUUAAAGUGUUGUAGACAACACAUAGGGUUACCGUGUAAAACACGUUACCCCAAUUAAAUGAUUGAUAUAGUUGACAAAAAUACGCGCGUUGACGUGUAUAGUAGAAAAAGCCUUGUACUAUAAUACAGGCGAUUAUUGAAGUUGAUAUUACUAACUUUUGUGAAUAUCUUGAUUGAUGGACACUUGCAUUUAAAGAUGACAAGAGUUGAACAAAUUAAGGAUAUGAUAGAGGAACGGUCCGAAGUAUGACGAUAGGAGCAUGCUCACUAAGGACUAAAUCGCGUAACGACCGCGAACAAGGUUAAUGGCAAGAAACGCCCGUCGGGGCAAGCAUUACCAGGUGCGUGUUUUUAAAUAUAAUCGCACAAAUAGCAAUAUGCAACAAACGAGUAGAAAUUGAAAGUUGCAUAUGUAGAUUAAAAACUUGGAAAAACCCGAAUAGAAAAUGUAUUCGGGAUAUUGUUUCCAAGAGAAACAAAUAGAGGCGUUACUUACAUAGGGCGUGAUGUGAAAACUAUAAAAAGGUCAUGUGUGUCAUAUGUUAAUCGCUUACUCUGGCCAAGUAAGUAGUGGCUUAUGAUACCAUGAACUUCUUAUGGCGGACACGUUUACAUCCGAUGUAGUAAGGGCAGGGUGAAUGGGACUAAUUAAAAAGUACCCAAAUGAAUCAGAUAAGCAAAAUAUUUGAUAAUAAUGUAAAUGCACAACCAAGUGACGGGAGCGUAUUACAUUAGGAUAAUGAGCCCGGGUGAAGGGACAAACAAGCAUGUAAAAUGAUUUAGACAAGUAUUGGGAGGGAGUGUACUUACACUCGAACCCAGAAAACACAAGCAUGUAAAAUGAUUUAGACGAGUAUUGGGAAGGAGUGUACUUACACUCGAACCCAGAAAACACAAGCAUGUAAAAUGAUUUAGACGAGUAUUGGGAAGGAGUGUACUUACACUCGAACCCAUAAAACACAAGCAUGUAAAAUGAUUUAGACAAGUAUUGGGAGGGAGUGUACUUACACUCGAACCCAGAAAACACAAGCAUGUAAAAUGAUUUAGACAAGUAUUGGGAGGGAGUGUACUUACACUCGAACCCAGAAAACGCAAACAUGAAAAAUGAUUUAGACAAGCAAUGGGAGGGAGUGUACUUGCACUCGAACCCGGAAAAUGCAAAUAUGUCCCUUAACGGGUCAUUUUUGUAAAACGUCGAACUUAAAGACAAAGUCAGAAUAUAAAAAUGAAGCGAGGUCUUAAUGCAUACCGGGAGGAUUGCAAUAAUAACGACUUUGGUAAAACACCCGGUUGAUGGGUAAGAAUUAAACACAUGCGUAAACCGAGAAACGAGAACAUGAAUUUAAAGUCAAAAGACUCGGAUUAUGAGUUAUGACUAAAAGACCAUAAAAAUUUCGUAAACAGAAAUUCUGAUCAUUAUAUUCAACUAUUUUGAGAUUGAACGGGUUGAAUAAAGUAUAAUGCUUGAAGGCGUAAGUAAGCGCAAGCCGGAUAACGGUAAGCUUGAGACAAAUGAGUUUCAAACGUAAAAAGAGUGCUUUGACACCAAAUAUAUAUUUUAAUAAGACACGAGUAAAAAGAGUGAUCUACGGGAUCAACAUAACCUUUAGGGUUAUAAACAAAUGAGAACAAAUGAGAGAUAUACGGACUAAAACGACCCACGGGUCAUGAUUAGAAAGAAGUUACAAGGACUUCGCCUUAAAGAGGUGAAUGUCUAAUAAAAAAUAGCCCAUAAGGCUAAGUGAUAAAACCUACGGGUUAGAUGGAAUAAAGCGAGGAAAUCAGUUAAGAAUCCCCGCAUAAAAACUAAGACUGUAAAGGAUUAAAUUACGGACUGUCAAUAUCCCAGUAUAGAUGAUUGACACAAGUUAAAGAAAAGAUCCUAAAACUAAAACUUCGGUUUUAGUAAGAAAUAAUGUUUUUACAAACAUAAAUUCUGAUAGGAAUUUAAAUAGUAAGCAUGAAAGAUACAAGUCUUGACACUGAUAGGCGCAAGAUGAUAUAUUCGAAAAGUGAUAUUCUCAAAAAUGAAAGGUUGAUAUAAAUUAAACAUGAUGUAACACAAUCACGGUCAAGAAAUGUAAUGUGAAGUAGAAUCACAAUAUAACCAAGCAAGCGGUAAAAAAGAACUGGACAAAUAAGUCUAGUUAAUGAAACCGGUUAAAGUCAGCAAUUUAAAGUUAAGAAAUUUGGUUCGCUUGUAAACGGUAAAUUCGGUAUAACUAAACCGAAUAAGUAAAUUU